GGGGCGUCCCUCCUCCUUUUACUUCGGACUUGGAGCUGCGGCGCUUCGGUCUUUGCUACUGGUGAAGCCAGGAUUCAAGCGCAAGAUGGGGGUACGCGACGUAGUUGAGGCCUUCCGCCCUUGGGAGCGACCUUGGAGAGUUCAGCCCAGAGUAAUAACUGUGAGAACCUUGUGUGUGGGGACCGAAGAUGGACGGCCUUUCACAUAGAGCUGGAGUCGGAAGUGGCGACUGGCCUGGAGCUCACGCACAAGGAGGAACAAUGGCGCUGUGUUUCAGUGAUUUAUCGCAUCCGUUACGAAAGGAAAUUCAAGUGAGGGUGCCCAUACACUGAGACAGUUGCUCCUGAGUUCCUGAGAUACUAAAACACUUGGGCAAUAGCAGGAUUCUAGAAAGAAAAGUUGGUAAAGAUAUCCAGACAAGACAAAUUGGAAAGAAAACUUAAAAUUUUGAAAAAUACAAGUAUUAAGUCUCUGCGUUUGUAAUACGUAAUUAUGAUUAAACUUAAUUUUGUGCCAA
Molecule: long non-coding RNA, 517 nt
Organism: Dipodomys spectabilis (banner-tailed kangaroo rat)
Lineage: Eukaryota; Metazoa; Chordata; Mammalia; Rodentia; Heteromyidae
Exons: 4
Source: RefSeq, a predicted model, not a curated record